CACUGAGGUGCGUACAAGCAUGGGUGAGCUAGCUCCUGGAAGAUUACUGUCCAGAAUAUUUACUCAGCAGACUGCAAUAUUAGCCAGCACAGCCAGUUUAAGGACUCUGUGCACUGCAGCAGAGAUUGCAGUGUCAUUGGGCUGGGAUGCUUUAAUGUUCAGUCCUGGAAAUGGGAAUAACUUUAAGGACAUCCAGAGGCUGGAGCAGUCAUCUAGAGACUGGCGUUCUGAGUUCAACUCCCUUCUCUGUCUAAUUAAUUUAAACCCUGUUAUUCUAACUACCUAAGGCACUAUAUUCGUUAAGAAGGGCUUUAGAGUGAUCAUCAGAAAUGUAUCUGCUCUGACUGCUGGCCACUGACUGGUAAAUUGAUUCCUUUCCUGGCUUGCGACAAGUGACCGUAGAGAGUGACUGCACAGAUGAGAGAUAUCUGGAAUGUCAAUUCUCCAGACCUCCUGCCUUCUGAGAGAACCCAUGAUUAAUUUUUUUCUGGAAGAGAG
RNAcentral lists this long non-coding RNA (498 nucleotides) under Parus major (Great Tit). RNAcentral describes it as "lncRNA (ENSPMJG00000005706.1)". The record is from RNAcentral. Lineage: Eukaryota; Metazoa; Chordata; Aves; Passeriformes; Paridae.